RNAcentral lists this unclassified non-coding RNA (224 nucleotides) under Hevea brasiliensis (rubber tree). Lineage: Eukaryota; Viridiplantae; Streptophyta; Magnoliopsida; Malpighiales; Euphorbiaceae. The record is from RNAcentral.
GGAAAAGUCGCCGUCAUCGGAACUUCCUCACCGGUCAACCGCCGGCCGCCAGAGUUCUUCAAGCUCUUCCUUUCUGAUCAGAGCUCUCAACAACUAGUAUUGCCAAAGGACUUCAGUAGAAAAUUUGGGGAGAAAAUGAAAGAAAGAAGCAAAAUUAAAGACUUAUGUGGGAAUGUUUGGGAUGUAUGUAUUGAAAAGAGUGAAGAUGGAGUUGUUACUUUCAU